RNAcentral lists this long non-coding RNA (557 nucleotides) under Ananas comosus (pineapple). RNAcentral describes it as "long non-coding RNA (ACOM_LNC031961)". The record is from RNAcentral. Lineage: Eukaryota; Viridiplantae; Streptophyta; Magnoliopsida; Poales; Bromeliaceae.
AAGACUACUACUAGUCAAAGAGUAAAAAUUUUGAAGUAAAAAGAGCUAAUACUUUUAAAAGUAUUUUAGCUCAAUACAUGUGACAAAUGACAUUAAACUUGAUUUAGAGUAUUUGAAAUACUUAGAAAAUAAAUUUUAUGAUUUUUUGAUAUCAUUUGUCUAGUGAUCGAAGGGACUCAAAAUCAAUAAUUUUAAUGACUGUGGUGAGCCGUUUGCAAGUUUAACAGUGUAAAAAUAUCCAAAUCACGUGAAAUUUUAAUAGAAAAUUCUAUAUACUAUAUAAAACAAGAUCAAUAUCUUUAAUCUAAAAUUUUAAUGUCACAUUAUCACGUUUUGGAAGAUUUUUAUUUUUAGCCGUUGAUUUUGAGCCCCUUAGUUCACUUGGCAAAUGAAAAUUGCAAAAUUUAUUUUCUAGGUACUUCAAAUACUCUAGAUCAAGUUUAAGGGAGCCGAUUGACGAUUCGAAAGUCGCAACAUCAAAAACGACCUGAAAGCACGGAAGGCUCCGUGCUUUCAGAAGCAUAGUAGCCUCACUCUUUGAAGUUUAUCUCUUUUAC